ACCCGUCUAGCUCAGUCGGUAGAGCGCUGGCCAUUUAAGCCAGUGGUCGUGGGUUCGAUCCCCACGGGGGGUG
This 73-nucleotide transfer RNA is filed under the name Phytophthora infestans T30-4. It matches the Rfam family "tRNA". Rfam says of the family: Transfer RNA (tRNA) molecules are approximately 80 nucleotides in length. Lineage: Eukaryota; Oomycota; Peronosporomycetes; Peronosporales; Peronosporaceae. The record is from Rfam by way of RNAcentral.